AGGAGGCAACGGAGGAGGAGUUGAUGGAUGCUAUGGCUCAGGCAGACUCAACUGGGAUGUUCAUUUGCCCGCACACUGGUGUGGCAUUGACUGCCCUGUUCAAGUUGAGAAACAGUGGAGUUAUUGGACCAAAUGAUAAGACUGUGGUUGUGAGUACAGCACAUGGAUUGAAGUUUACUCAAUCAAAGAUUGAUUACCACUCAAAGGAAAUAAAGGACAUGGAAUGUCGGUUUGCUAGUGGAGUUAUCGGACCCAAUGAUAAGACUGUGGUUGUGAGUACAGCACAUGGAUUGAAGUUUACUCAAUCAAAGAUUGAUUACCACUCAAAGGAAAUAAAGGACAUGAAAUGUCGGUUUGCUAACCCACCGGUGGAGGUGAAAGCAGAUUUUGGAUCAGUCAUGGAUGUUCUCAAGAAAUAUUUGUUGAGCAAAAAUGCCAAGCACUGAUUUGCUUUCUCAGUUAUAACAGGGUAAGUUUGUAUUAUGUACUUCUAAUGUCAGCAUUUGGUUCUUCAUCGUCAUUAAGUUGUCAUGUAGAAAUGACCGGAUGGUGAUUUGUUUGUUGGCAGAGUUGGGGGAGAGAAAGGCUCUAAAUUUCCUUUGGGAGGACUAUGAAUUUAAGUUAUUUUAUGGAACUCUUUCUUUGUGUAAUAGUCUGCUAUUUGAAUGUUAUUUAGCAUUGGCAUUGCUUUGGAGCAUCACAAUAAAGCUCAGUUUUCCCAUAAUGUUAUAAUCACUAUCUAAGAUAAUCAAAAACUUUUCUUUAAUAUAAACUGAGAAAGUACUGUUUUUCAGUACCUUCAAUGUGUUUUUAGAACUAUUGUUCA
This 826-nucleotide long non-coding RNA is filed under the name Nicotiana benthamiana. RNAcentral describes it as "long non-coding RNA (NBEN_LNC035662)". Lineage: Eukaryota; Viridiplantae; Streptophyta; Magnoliopsida; Solanales; Solanaceae. The record is from RNAcentral.